UGGGGAAUUUUCCGCAAUGGGCGAAAGCCUGACGGAGCAAUGCCGCGUGGAGGUGGAAGGCCUACGGGUCGUCAACUCCUUUUCUCGGAGAAGAAACAAUGACGGUAUCUGAGGAAUAAGCAUCGGCUAACUCUGUGCCA
This 140-nucleotide ribosomal RNA is filed under the name uncultured bacterium. RNAcentral's name for it is "partial 16S rRNA". It matches the Rfam family "Bacterial small subunit ribosomal RNA", at positions 355 to 510 of the family's 1533-position model. The record is from RNAcentral.